CGGCGGGCAGCGGCGCUGCGGCAGGGUCCCGGCGGCCGUGCCCUACGAAGGGCCUGGGCCGGGCGCGCUGGGAAGCGGCGGGGCUGGAGCAGGCGGAGGGUGAGUGACGGCGGGGCGACGCUCAGCGCCGUCUUCAGUGGGAAGCGAAUCAGCCGUAGGUGGGAAAUUAGGGUCACAUCUCCGAUCUCCCGAGGUGAGCCAGAGCGCGGGGCUGGCGGCAGCACUUUGGGAGACUGAGGAAAAGCCUCCUGCGGUGGGAGGGAGGGCGAUACGCACUUAAGUCACAUCGCGGGGCUGUCACGAGGCCGCGGCAGGUCCCCGCGGUGAAGGCAUCAUCCGAGCUGUCGCUGUGUCGGGCCGAUGCCUCCGCGCAGCCUGACAGCCGUGUUGACGCUGCGCUUCAGCCUUAUUGUAGAGCAAAGCCUUUCGACGCGGGAUUUGGUCCCUAGCGCCGGUUUGCUGGUAUUGCUGACAUCCCAGCAAAACAUGUGCAGGAUGCUCACAGCACUGCGUUAUGGCAAGGGUUCAGCCGGCUCGAUGCUUGAAGCUGCUAGAUGCUGCCUCAGCGUUCCGUUAGGACUGUGAGAAGUCAGGUCACUCUGCUGAUGCAGGGAGCUGAAAUACAGCAUCGAACUUAAAACGUGGAUUCUAUCGUAUACAUGGGAUUGCUCAAGCCAAGGUACGGUGGAGGGGGGACGUGGCCGAGGUCUUCUGAGACACAUGGAAGAGCCCUCAGGUGAAUUGUGCUGUGGAAGUGCAGCACAACCACAGGAGCACCAGCCGAACGCUUGUGAGUCCCUGCUGAUUUGUUUGCAAUAAACGUGACUGCUCUGAAGCUGUCUGGCACCAUCACGUUAUCUUCCUCAAUGCCAUAACCGAUGAGGUCCUCAUUUUUAAGGCAGAACGAUGCAACUUUCGAUAUAUUCAACGCCAGCCCCCUGCCCCCAGGCUGUCUUUGCAGUCAACAGGCAUGUAAAAUAUUCAGAGUAAAAAAAGAAAUCAUCAUGUGUGACUAGAAAGUGCUGAAGCACAGCGUGCGGCACUGCCGGCUCAUGCAACAGCUCCGUGUGCACAGCCACGCUCACAGGGCUCAGCCUCCCCCUGUUCCUGGAUUCUGAUGAGAACCCAAAGAGAAGGAGGCAAACAGAUCACGCUCCAUGCACCUACACACAAGAAGAAAAUGCUACUCAGCUUGCAUGGAAACACUACAGAGCGCUUCUCUGCAUGUUUUUCAGGCAGUAAAUCUGUGAGCAACUUUUUGAAGCCUGGACGGAACUGAAUCAUGUGAAAAUCAGGUACUUUUCUAUUAAAGUAGCCAGCAAUGUAAGUAUGCCAUAUACCCCCACAUUUCUUGCAAGUGCUUUCCCUAGGGACACUAUUUGACAUUUUUUUGUAUAUAUUUCACUGAUAUAUGCAAUGAAGAGCUGGACCACUUCAGUUUUCUUAAUCAAGCAAUCAAGCUGUGGUCAAUAAAAUACAUUCCUGAAGAGCAACAAUUAGCACAUAGUUUAAGAAGGCUAAUGGGGACCCAUCCCUAGCAGCCAGGGACUAGCAACCUAGUCAGCAACUGAAGAAUGCCCACUGGGAGGCCAGCAGUGACAGCAGCCAGGUGAGCCUAAGGAGCAGAUGGAAUCAGCACAAUUAGUCUUCCUGAAAUGCUAGUUUUAGCGUUUGUGAAUGAAACUUACCAGAUCUCCUAGUACAAAGUAGUGCUCGUGUAAAGCCUAUCUUUUUACGCUGUUUCCAGCAGAGAGCUGUGAGUAUUGAACUAGCCAUUCAUACAUCUUAGUGCAGUCUCAACUUCUGUGGAGUCAUUUUUGCUCUCCCGGAUGAGGAUUGGCCUUCUGCACAUCAGCCUGGAAGUACUCUCUCAUUUCAAGGGCUGCUGCCUCUGACAGCCCCGUCUGGCCUAGGACCGCGCUCCAAAAUAAUGAUGCUGUACUAACAGACAGGUUUCUCUGCUUUGCCUUAAACUGCUGACCCAUUCCCACCGUGCCCACUAAGCCAUAUCCGUUAGUACCACAUCUAAAUGUUUCUUGAACACCUCCAGGGACACUACCACUUCCCUGGGCAGCCCAUGCCAAUGCCUCACCACUCUUUCUGAGAAGAAAUGUUUCCUAAUAUCCAACCUGAACCUCCCGUUACAGUUUCAUCUGAGGAAGCUCUCUGGUAUCCCAGAUAUCUAUACAGACACUGUGCUUAGCCACCUGAUCCACAAAACUGAGGACUGCUUAACACCUGUGAAAUUUCACAGCAUGACAGCAGAGCUGAGGCUGGAAGGCACAUCUGGAGCUCCACUGGUCCAGCCCCCUGUUCAGAGCAUGGGCAGUGAGAGCACAUUGCCCAGGGCUGUGUCCACAUGGGCUUGGGGUUUCAUCAAGGUUGGAGACUCCACAGCCUUACGGGGCAACCUGUUCCAAUGUUCAGCCACCCGCAUGGGGAAAAAUGCUUUUCGUAUGUUGAAUGAAAUGUUCUGUGUUUCUGUUUGUGCCUAUUGAAUAGCACCGAGAAAAGUCCAGCUUCAUCUUCUUUACCCCUCCUAUCAGACUUUCAUACACUUCAGUAAAGCGUCCUGUGCCCUCCUCAAGCCUCCCCUUCUCAAGGUUAAGCAGCCCUAGCUCAGUCUUCCCACUCCUUACCUCCGUGGCUGAACACAUGCCUCCUCCCUGGCUUGCUGCUUGGAAAAAACACUUCAUAUACAUACAGAUAAUAGGAAGAGCAAAGCCAAGAAAACUCAUGGGUAAAGACAAAGGCAGUUUAGUAAGUGAAGGAAAAAAAAAAAACGAUGGAAGGCAAUCACUCACCACGUCCCAAGUCCCACUGACAGCCUGAUGCCCAGGCAGCCUCUCAGUGACAGCAAGCUCAGAAGCCAGCCCCUGUCCUCACGCCCCAGGCUUUAUUGCUGAGCAUGACGUUAGAAGGUAUGGGACAUACCUUUGGUCUGUCUGGGUCAGCUGUCCUGGCUGCAUCCCCUCCCAGCUCCUUGCCUACUCAGCCUGCUUGCUGAGGUAGGAGUGGGGCAGAGAGCACUGCUGAGCUGCAGCCAAAACAGUGGUGUGUUAUCAGCACUGCCCUAUCCAUAGCCCCACAGAGGCUGCUAUGAAGGACAUUAACUCCAUCCCAGCCAGCCUCAGUGCACCUGCAGGAUAACAUCCUUGGAGUAAGAGAUUUCCCCCUUUGAAGUUCCCCUGCUAUGGUUAUGGCAACCAGUCUCAGCAGUGCUACUGUGUGCUAUCUGCUUCCCUAGCACCUUCUUAGUGUCUAAAAGAAGAGAAAGUAGCACAUUAAACCAUGAAAAAGAAAAUGGAGGAAAAAAACCAGAAGCUGACAAAAGUUGGUAUAUAACUAAAGAGUUAAAUGUAAGAACCUAGACAAAAAGACAAAAAUAUGUACUUCACUGAAAGUAAGAAUGUUAACUUAGAGACAAUGACAUUGCAAAUACUAUUAGUAUGUUGCUACUGGAUGUAAAAAAAUAGAAUUGCCUAAAAGAAUGUACGGAAGCAGAAUUAUUCAAUCAAUAUUUCUAUUGUAUAUUUAGUAAACAGAAGCUGUGCUUUCAUAUUAUAUUACAUUGAAAUACUUUCCUUUCAAUCAAUAAUGUAAAAGGACAAUAAAGAUCAGCAGAAUAUACUAAACAGUUAUUUUUUAAACGGAAGGUCAAGGAGUUUUUAGAAAAAUAAAUGAAAGUGGAGUUAGGCAGCAAUGUUAAUAAUUCAAAUCAGUUCCUAACAAUUUCUGAAACGCUAAGGAAAUUUCAGAGAAAUAGAAGAAAGUUAAUACUGUAACAAUAUUUGAAGGGUAAAUAGGAUGACCUACUUAAUUACAGGCUCAUCGAGCUGACAGCAAGCAUGGGCAAAAUUGUGGGAAAGGCAGGUUCAGGACUCAAUUACAGUAAGGAAUGACAGGGAGAAGAACCGGAAUUGCCAAAUACCAGGCAGUGGGGCAGGCUGUGCAGCCGUGCAGUCCCUGCCUGCACCGCGUGAGUCAGAAUACUUCCCAGAUUUUGGCCUAACCAGUGCCUCUAUUUUUGCACUAACAGCCGCCAAUAAAAUGAGCUGGCAGAAAAUACACUUUGAAAAACUGUUCUGAUGUCACUUCAGAGAUGCCACAUUUUAUUUUAAGUACCUAUGUAGAAAUACACUUGAAAUCUUAUGCUAUCGGAUCCCCAUUGACAUUCCAAUGAAAGAGCUAGAUUGACACAAAAUCAACACUAUACGCAAUGCACAGGUGUACCAAUAGGCUUUCAUUCAUGCUACAUAUUUAUGAGUCUAUUCAAUCUUUUAAUCAGUGAAACAAGAGAGAGAUUACAAAACACCAAAGAUGAGGGAAACUAAAACUAAUGGCAGAGAGACACCUUUUGAUGGUAAAACUCUCGGCUCUUCCAUUUGUUGGGUACCAUCUAAAAUAUUUCAAAACAAAUGUAACUGAGAAUAGGAACAAAUUAUACAUGCUGUUUUUAUGAGACAAGAAAAGGGGAAAAAAAUAGAUAUGGAUUUUAACAAAUAUAAAUGAUGCUCUGGCUAAAAAAGGUAGGGCACUUUUGGAAUGUGAGACACUAAUAUGUAGUUUUUGAUCCUUGCCAAGACCCUUUUACUUUACAAAGAUGAAGUUAAGGAAUGAUUUCAUCAUUGUUGAUAGAUUAAGUCAUAAAAACAAAAUGUGAGUAGUAUGUGAUACAUAGAUAUAAUUUUGCAAUACUGAUGGAACUUGGACAACAAGAUGUAGAAGUGUGUGACCUUUUACAUGUGGUGAAGCAGAACUCCAGUCCUGCCGUCACGUGAUAGAAGACUUAACAAGGGUAAAGCAGAAGCUGUACUGGAAGUUUUGAAGGUGAUAGUCAGAUAACGAACAAAACUUACCAUUAGCUAAAGUACUUCUGUUCAUCCAGACCAAAUUUACUCUUAGUAAGCAGAAUUCUACUUUAAAUAAUCAUACUGAUUUAAAAUAGAUAAGCAACACAUACCUAGCCUAGAUAAAAUCACUGAAGAAGUAGCUAGUGAGGUGAACUUACAUCACUAAUUAAAUACCGUUUGCAUCCACUGGCCAUACAGAUACUUUCAGCAAGGUGUGACUUCUGUAUUAAGCAAAGAAAAUAAUCAUCAGUGUUCAGCUAUGUUAAUAGUUACAUAUACAGAGUUAGAGAAAACCAAAAUAAGGAAAAAGCUCAAUCUGAGUUCAGACUUCCAUGAAUACUGCUUAACCACAAUGUACAAGCCUAUUGUAAUGGUAGAAGAAGGUGUCAGAAAGGUAGGAUUCAAGGAGGAAAAGCUCAGAAAAACAGGAACUUGUAACAGAGAGGAAGUUAUCUAAUACAAUACAAGAAGCCUCAGCACUGAUCUGAGGUGAGGGAACAAAAACACAGCUGGAGCAGAGAACACCAAUGAAGCACUGGCUAUUGUGGCUGGGAGUUCUGACAGAGCUUCUAGCAAACCUGACACUGCAGCAAUAUGACACAGAGGCAGCUAUAUCCCAACCAAGCAGAUAGAUACAGGUGUUUCAGGACCAUAGGAUCAUAGAGUAUCGUGAGUUGGAAGGAACUCUACAAGGAUCAUUGAAUCCAACACCCAGCUCCACACAGAAACACCCAAAAUUCAAACCUUAUGCAUGAGGCCACUGUCCAAAAACUUCUUGACUUCUGGCAGCUUGAGGCCACGACCACUGACCUGGGAGCCUGUUCCAGGGCCCAACUACCCCCUCAGCAAAUAAUCUUUUCCUAAUUCCCACCCUGCCCCUCCCCUGACACAGCUCCAUGCCGUUCCCUCGGGCCCUGUCGCUGUCACGCAGAGCAGAGCACAGCACUGCCCCUCCACACCCUGUGAGGAGCUGCAGCCGCCAUGAGGGCUCCCCUCAGCUCCUCUGCUCUGGGCUUAGCAAACCCAGGGACCUCAGCACUCCUCGUAUGCCUUGCCCUCUAAACCCUUCACCAUCUUUGUAGCCCUCCUUUUGACUUCUCCAGGCAGUGAAUCAAACCCUAGGAAUACUGAGUUCUGUUUGCUAAUGACUUCUGUGAUUGUCGAAAUGGCAUCACUUAGUGAGUCAUAAUAAUUUCACAGAAAAUAAUCAAAUACACCAACAUUAAACAUGAGAUAGCUAAUCAUAGUCUGAAGAUAGUUAAUAAGUGAAUCACAUAUACCCUGCUAUGCCUAGAGAGGGGUUUCUUUGGUGACAGAUCUUCAGCUCUGAAUAAGCAAUGAGAAGGCCAAGCUUUGUGACCCUUCUUUAAAAGUUAUUCUCAUCGUAUAUAGGGAUAUGCCGUAUCUCUUAUGCAAAUAGAUUCUUUUUCAAUAGCCAAAGAGUAUCCUGUGACAAAUGGUUGCUAUUUUGAGCUCACACUAAUGCACUGUGAAAAAAACAUAGUUAUGCCAAAAAAAAAAAAAAACUUACAAUGAGAAAUGUAAUAAUUUAUUUAACAGUUGGAAACCCAUUGAAAAUGAACAGACACUUGAGUGAGUGCCCAAGAGAACAAGAAAGAAUGGACAGCACAGUCAAAAUGUCUUUUGUUUGUUUAGUGAAUAUCCUUUCAUCUAUAAGACCAGCAAUGAGUGCACUCUAGAAUCCUUUGGAGCUAAAGUGAACUACUGGAGACCUUCCAUUUAUGCUGCAACGCAGCCUACACCUGGUUUGAAUGUCUACAGAAGGGUUUUUUCUGCUUCAGUACUAACAGAGCAGGUUUCAGUGCUAGAAGUGAACUAUGCUACUCUCCAGGUUUCAUUGCAGGUCUUUCUCCUGUCCUUCCUCUGCAUUUCUAUCUACUUAGCACAGAAUAAGGAUCUAUGGUGCAAAUUUUUUCUCACAUUUCUCAGAAUGCUUUCUACAAACAAGUGGCAAUAAGAUCCCUAAUUGGCUUCAUGGAGUCCUUUUGGGAUAAAACCUCCUCUUAAUGGACAUUUUCACACUAAUUUUUUUCAUAAUAAUUUAGAGAUAGAAACAGGGUGUCACUUGUGAGUGAGCUGGGAGAAAGACCUGUCUGAAUGAGUUCCUCUCCCACAGUGGGGCCCCAUGGGUUGGAAGCAUCUUUUGUCCCAGGUCCUCCUGUUCUUUCACCUCAGUUUUGAAAUACCUCAGAGUCAUAGCUGUUAUCACGAUGCCAACAUCAAAAAGUAGAUUUAUCUAACAGCUAUUUGAACCUUUUUUUAAUUCCUAAAGAAAACUGCAUAAACUAUAAAACAGCAAAGAGAAGCAUACUAAGAGCUAGCAAAAGGCAAUGUGAGAUUAGAUCUUAUAUGUCCACAGCUAUAUAAGCCGUGAAGAAUCAGGCAGAAACAUGACACGUCAGGAACAAUAGAUAAAGUGGCAGAGAAAAUAUACAGCAAAAGACUGAAAUUUUCAAAUAUUUAUACCCCCCAGCUACAAGGUGAACAGGCUAAGCAGGGUACAGAUACUGCUGGACUCUCUUAAGAGAGGAAGUGACUUAAGAACAUUGUGUCUUCAACACAGAGUGCAAACAAUGCCUUGGCCAGAGUUGUUUUUGCUUCAUUUGAUAUCAGUCUGUACUAACUGUACCUCAUCAUGAGAGGAAACAGCAUCUCUAUAGCAAUGGAAAACAAGAUAAGUACUUGCACAUAAUCAGCAUAGUGCUGGUGUGUCAGUAUUUCAGUGUCUCAGUGCACUCAUCUCACACAAGUAGUAGAAGGAAACAGAAAUAAAUACAGACAGAAUGAUGCCCAGUAUCUCUCUUUUGAGUUCACUGGGAAAAUGAUGGGAUCCACACUACCACUGCACCAGGGUAUCGUCAUAGAUCAUAUGCUACAAAGAGAUCUCUACUAUUUCUCUACUAGUAAAGUCUUGUCUGUACUGAAUUCGUUGAUAGGUUUCUUAUUGAUUUCAGUAGAAUCAUGAUGUCCUCCACAUAACAGUUGAAAAAAUAAAAGUAUUUUCUCAUUUUUGCGCCAUGCUUUUUUACCUAAUCACAGUUACCAUUUUUGAAUGUUCCUAAAGGCAGGAAUAUUUGAGUGAGAAAAUCUCACAGACAAUACCUACUUUCCAGAUUACUCCAAACUACAUAGCUGCUCAUCAGUUCAUGCAAAUUUUGAAUACUGCUCUAUGCUGAGAAAUGACUACUGACCAGACAAGCCACCCCCUUGCAGGAGGGAAGGAAAAAAACAAGAACCAUCAAGAUCAUCAGUGAUACCAUUUAAUGCACUUCUGGAAUGCGUUCAGAUAACACACCACGAAGGCAGAACACAGUGUGGCCAGGAGCGUGACUGGGCCACAAAUAAUUCUGUACAAUGAUCUUGCAGUGAUAUUAACAUUCUAGUUAGUCACUGCUAUUAGGGUAAACAUACUAAAAAAUGAACCACAUGAAGAAUUUCAUAACCUCAAAAUUCCAGAGACCAUGAGACACUUCGGUGUUCAUACUGCCCAUUAUGCUCUGAAUGUACAGAGAGUGUAGAAUAUGGGCUAGAUAGAAAAGGACAAAGAUACCAGCAAACAAUAUUCAGAAUCAACUCUUUAAUAAUUUAACUGUAUACUUCAGAGAGCAAAACGAUGUAAGCAACAUGGGAAUUCCCACCAACUGUGCUUUGUUUAGUUUAUUUCACUAAGCAUUUGUUUUUUUUUGGUGUCAAAGCAUAUAAAAACAUUAAAAGAAUCAGUUGCCUACAACUUUUAGGAUAGCAUCCAUGACAGUGGGCAGGAACCUCCCAGUACCUCAUCUUUCUUAUCGACUAUAUUGUAAUUCGGCUGAAGCAGUUGUGUAUCUGCCACAUUCCAGGUCACCUAUAGACAAGACCUACUGCGUCAACUGAUUGAGCAGCCAGGAAGAAAAGCCCUUUCCAUUAUGAAUGUUAUGACACAAGAGUUAGAUGGUUUAUUUCCUCAUUUAUCAGAAAUAGAAUCAAAUAUAAGAGCAUAAAGAAAUGAAGAGAUGCAUUCACAGUGCUAUAAAAACUUACUGAAAUACAUAAAUCUGGCUGUAGAAGGGGCAUUAUUUCUCUGUUAGCUACCCAUGUGUAUAUGGGAAUGGAGACUACUGGAAACAAGCAGAGUUGAAUAAAUGAUUUUUUCACAUAGCUCUGAAGUUUGUAUUCAUUCUUAUUCAAUAUAGAAGAAAGUUCAUCUUGAUGAUGGAAUCAUUCUCUAAUAAUUAUUCUCUUGAAAAUGUGUUUAUUUUUGAAGAGCAUGGGGGGGUUAUUUUAUAUUUUUUUGGUCAAACGUAAAACUCUGUAAUAUUGAGAUUUUUAAAAAGUACUUCAGACUUCCAAUUUGCCUUCUCAAAAAGCUCCUAUGAAAUGCCAA
This 9237-nucleotide long non-coding RNA is filed under the name Gallus gallus (chicken). RNAcentral describes it as "lncRNA (ENSGALG00010002260.1)". Lineage: Eukaryota; Metazoa; Chordata; Aves; Galliformes; Phasianidae. The record is from RNAcentral.